AAGAUUUUAAGUUAAAUUAAACUAAUAACCUUCAAAGUUAGAAAUAAAACUAUUUUUUAAAUCUUA
This 66-nucleotide transfer RNA is filed under the name Ammothea hilgendorfi. RNAcentral's name for it is "tRNA-Trp". The record is from RNAcentral. Lineage: Eukaryota; Metazoa; Arthropoda; Pycnogonida; Pantopoda; Ammotheidae.